GCUGGGAAGGGAUAGGUAGGCUUAACGAAAACCCUCGGGGAUGGAUACAUGGGCUUUUCGUAAUCUUUGGGUGAGGGGUAUUUUACCCGCGGGAGUUCUGGGAGGGGAGUCAGAGUGCGGGAAGUCCCUGAACCUGAAGAUUUUCCGGAGAUGUCACUCCCCUCCUUGCUUUCCUCCCGACUAUCCUCCACCCCCGUGUUCAUUACACGAUUCAUGAUUCCCCAAGUAACUACCAGGGGAGAAACUGAAGUGUCCCCCUCCCUUAGAACAUCCCACAGGCAGUCUCCCAGACUGCCCCAUGUCUCCAGAGAGAACGCCUCUUUCGGAUCGUCUGGGAAUCCAGCCUGUUUGCCCCAAGCCAGUAACGCGAUUAAAUCGCUGUCUGGAAUGGGUUUUUCCAGGGUUUCCAGGACACUCUUCCAGAUGGAGAGGAUAGGAUCCUCCUGCCGGGUCAAAUGACUUCCCAUCAGUCAAAAUUUUUCCACCUAGCCACUAAGCCAGGAGGGAGGGAAACAGAAAACAAUUCCUUUCUCGGAUGCAGAGAGGGGAAGAGAGCGACGAGAAUCGCAGUUUCUUGAGCGGUCUCUCGGUGGCUGCCUGGGCUCUCAACUCGGGUCUGCUGGGUUUCGCACUGCGGGCUGCGCUCCGCUCAGUUCUCCGUGCAGUUCGAGGGACGAUCCGAUCGUGACCCGCAGGUGCAAUCUCAGUGGACACCACCAGAUGUCACUAUCACGCGAGUGAAAGCAAUGACAGCAACACAGGACUUCUUCAGAGAAGAGAGCCGUUUAUUGAAUGAACCGCAGGAAACUCAGCUGGCACAGACCCUGCCUUUGGACUUUGCUGUUCAUAACAUCCAACCAGGAGAUUGGGUCCCAGUUAAGGAGUGGAAAGAAGCAACACUGGUGGUGAAGUGGCGUGGACCUUUGCAAGUAUUACCACAGAAACAACCAUCAAGACAGCUGAACACGCACGAGUGGACCCAUCAUACUCAAGUCAAGGUCUCUAAAACCCCAGAGAGUUGGACUUCAAAGCAGAAGAAAAAGAAUGGGAGACCUCGGCAACUUUGUUCUCUGUAUUUACUGUAUUCUCUGCUUCUCUGUAUUUACUUGCCACACCUGAUGCAGGCAUUGGACUGGAAAAGUCGGGAGGGGGUGUUUCAAAUGUUCUAA
RNAcentral lists this long non-coding RNA (1169 nucleotides) under Catharus ustulatus (Swainson's thrush). RNAcentral's name for it is "lncRNA (ENSCUSG00005014279.1)". The record is from RNAcentral. Lineage: Eukaryota; Metazoa; Chordata; Aves; Passeriformes; Turdidae.